AUAUUUUUCAUGUACUGUAACUAGCAUAAUAAAAAAGUCUGUUCUUAUCAGCCUAAUAUCUGAUACGGGUUCUUAUGGAACCACGAUAUUAAACCUAUUUUUAGAAGUUGGCGGAGUGCUUGAAGCCUGCUUCACCUCCGCCGCAGGUCGGCCCGGUAUUGCACUACCUCCGGGAUCGGUCCCCGCUCA
Molecule: small nuclear RNA, 189 nt
Filed under: Dermacentor andersoni
Lineage: Eukaryota; Metazoa; Arthropoda; Arachnida; Ixodida; Ixodidae
Description: U2 spliceosomal RNA
Rfam family: U2 spliceosomal RNA
About the family: U2 is a small nuclear RNA (snRNA) component of the spliceosome (involved in pre-mRNA splicing). Complementary binding between U2 snRNA (in an area lying towards the 5' end but 3' to hairpin I) and the branchpoint sequence (BPS) of the intron results the bulging out of an unpaired adenosine, on the BPS, which initiates a nucleophilic attack at the intronic 5' splice site, thus starting the first of two transesterification reactions that mediate splicing.
Source: RNAcentral